Molecule: long non-coding RNA, 329 nt
Filed under: Capra hircus (goat)
Lineage: Eukaryota; Metazoa; Chordata; Mammalia; Artiodactyla; Bovidae
Description: lncRNA (ENSCHIG00000005298.1)
Source: RNAcentral
CCCAGCUCCCCGCUACUUUUUAUAACCAGCUUUAUUUGAGAUCUUACUACACAGUCAGAGAAUAAUCCCACCCACGUCCUCUGCCCCAAGGUAGCUGCAACAAGGAGAAAGACAAAGCGACUCCAUCAAAUUCAUUUCUGGGUUCCAGACGCUGAGCACACACCUGGAAUGGGAGGGAAAGUGAGACUGAAAGGGACCAGGGGACCCUCCCCAGGUCACACAGCCUGAGGAGCCCCGCUCUGCAGACUCUGAGCUCCCUGCCCACACAGAACCUCCCGUUCCAAGGAGUUAUUAAACCUCCAGGAGCCCAAAGUCAAAUUGAAGAAGGU